Molecule: ribosomal RNA, 274 nt
Filed under: uncultured bacterium
Lineage: Bacteria
Description: partial 16S ribosomal RNA
Rfam family: Bacterial small subunit ribosomal RNA
Source: RNAcentral
AUACGGAGGGUGCGAGCGUUGUUCGGAAUUAUUGGGCGUAAAGAGCAUGUAGGCGGUCUGUUAAGUCUGGUGUGAUAGCCCGGGGCUCAACCCCGGAAGUGCAUUGGAUACUGGCAGACUUGAGUAUGGGAGAGGAAAGCGGAAUUCCGAGUGUAGGAGUGAAAUCCGUAGAUAUUCGGAGGAACACCAGUGGCGAAGGCGGCUUUCUGGACCAAUACUGACGCUGAGAUGCGAAAGCGUGGGGAGCGAACAGGAUUAGAAACCCCGGUAGUCC